This 270-nucleotide ribosomal RNA is filed under the name uncultured archaeon. RNAcentral describes it as "partial 16S ribosomal RNA". It matches the Rfam family "Archaeal small subunit ribosomal RNA", at positions 477 to 747 of the family's 1478-position model. The record is from RNAcentral.
CAGCACCUCAAGUGGUCAGGAUGAUUAUUGGGCCUAAAGCAUCCGUAGCCGGCGCUGUAAGUUUUCGGUUAAAUCUGUACGCUCAACGUACAGGCUGCCGGGAAUACUGCAGCGCUAGGGAGUGGGAGAGGUAGACGGUACUCGGUAGGAAGGGGUAAAAUCCUUUGAUCUAUUGAUGACCACCUGUGGCGAAGGCGGUCUACCAGAACACGUCCGACGGUGAGGGAUGAAAGCUGGGGGAGCGAUCCGGAUUAGAUACCCGCGUAGUCC